RNAcentral lists this ribosomal RNA (264 nucleotides) under Triticum aestivum (bread wheat). RNAcentral describes it as "partial small subunit ribosomal RNA". The record is from RNAcentral. Lineage: Eukaryota; Viridiplantae; Streptophyta; Magnoliopsida; Poales; Poaceae.
AUGGGUUCAUAUACACAACAUGAGGACAAGUUGAUUUGCCAAUGUUGGAUGGAGAUUAGCCAAGAUCCGAGGACGUGCGUGUAACAAAAGGGCCUAGUUUUUUGGACGAGAGUCAACAAAACUUUCCAUGAAAGGAAGAUGUUUGAGCCCUACCAAAUCACAAGCAACCGUGGCAUCACCUCGAUUCAAAAGAGGUGGUUUUCAUCCAACAAGAGUGCAAUAAAUAUUGCGCCGCAUUUGAGAGCGUUGAAGCACGACCCGUGA